Molecule: ribosomal RNA, 253 nt
Filed under: uncultured bacterium
Lineage: Bacteria
Description: partial 16S ribosomal RNA
Rfam family: Bacterial small subunit ribosomal RNA
Source: RNAcentral
UACGAAGGGGGCUAGCGUUGCUCGGAAUGACUGGGCGUAAAGGGCGCGUAGGCGGCUGUGACAGUCAGAUGUGAAAUUCCUGGGCUCAACCUGGGGGCUGCAUUUGAUACGUGAUGGCUGGAGUGGGGAAGAGGGUCGUGGAAUUCCCAGUGUAGAGGUGAAAUGCGUAGAGAUCGGGAAGAACACCAGUGGCGAAGGCGGCCGGCUGGGGGCGCCCUGACGCUGAGGCGCGAGAGCGUGGGGAGCAAACCGG